UAUGCCAGGAAUGUGAGAGUUUCAGGUUCCCCCUCGGGAUCAAAGCGAACCACAAAUAACCUCUCAGCGCGCCGCCCUCCUCCGCCCUCCGCCUCCUCCCGCUCCCUCCUCCCGGUCCCCGCCUUCCUCCGGGGAGGCGGCGCUGCUGGCUGAGCGCCGGGCCGGCCCCCGAGCUCCGUUCCUCCUCACCCAGCGCCCUCCACGCCGCGCUGUGUCCGCCCCUGCCCCCCCGUUUUGCCUUGGGAGCUGCUGGAGACAAUUUAAUCCAACUCGGCUCAUUAUCGCCUCCACUCCCAGUCGCCGACCCGCUCUCACCCUUCAUCCCUAAACCUAUGGACGGGACGACAGCAAGGGCUGUACCACGCGUGUCCCGAGGAAGUGUGAAUCUGGUUUGGAAAAUCCGGUCAAUUUGACCCACCUACCCAACAGAAUCACCCGUCGUCAGGCGCUCUGUCCAAUUCUUCCCCAAGGUGAUAAUAGGCGCCCCUUUACGCAGAGCGCAAGGUGUGCCACCGCUGGCUUUUCGCCCGGUCAUCCGAUUCAGCCCUGCCAAGCACCCUCCAACGGAGUUCUGUUAUCAUUCCUGUGUUAUAAAUGAGGGCACCAGGGCUCAGAGAGCUUAAGCAGCGUGUCCAGAGUCACACACAGCAAGAACCAGAAAGAACGGAGGGCACGAUCUCUCAGGCACGGCUGCUGGGAGGCUCCGUGGAACCUGCCUAAGCUGGUGGCCAUCCCAGCUCUGCAGGGUGGUUGGUUGAGAAGGUGACCACCGUUGAGAUGUGCCAGAGGCAGGUUAUGAUUCUUCCCAGAUGACAAUGUGGCUGACUGGGUCAGGAAUCCUACCCAGGAAAGAUGCGGAGGUGACCUAAUUCUCAGACUUCCUCUGGACACUCCCUCUGACAGCUUAUGGGAACAAGAAGCCUACUGGAGCACAAAGCCUCACUGGAGCAUGAAGCAAAUUCAUAGGAAGAAUCUGAACAUUAGGAUGGAAGUUCUAGUGCUCCAGUUCCAAGAGCAGAAGAUCCAAGUGGAGGGCUUUCUUCUCUUUGUCCUCCUGCAAACCCCUGUCCCCCCUUCACUCCCUUCUCCACCCCUCCCUUCAUCACUCCCUCUAGGUUUUCUCCCCCAAGUCUUCUCCUUCCACUGCUGCCCCCUCUGUCUUUCACUCUCAUACUUCAGGUCUGGAAUCUCCAUUAAGCACAAAGGGCCUCACGGAGUCUGUGUCUUUAGGGGUUAAAUCCUCCAGAGUUGGAGCAUUUAUGGAUUUAGGCCCCACAAUGGUUUGGGUAAGAGAAUGUUGUCCUAAAAAAUGAAGAAGCGGCCAGGCACGGUGGCUCACACCUGUAACCACAGCACUUUGGGAGGCCAAGGCGGAUGGCUCACCUGAGGUCAGGAGUUCGA
This is a long non-coding RNA of Rhinopithecus roxellana (golden snub-nosed monkey), 1401 nucleotides long. RefSeq lists it as uncharacterized. The record is from RefSeq and is a predicted model, not a curated record. NCBI's taxonomy places the organism in Eukaryota, Metazoa, Chordata, Mammalia, Primates, Cercopithecidae. The transcript is spliced from 5 exons.